RNAcentral lists this ribosomal RNA (253 nucleotides) under uncultured bacterium. RNAcentral's name for it is "partial 16S ribosomal RNA". It matches the Rfam family "Bacterial small subunit ribosomal RNA", at positions 524 to 776 of the family's 1533-position model. The record is from RNAcentral.
UACGGAGGGGGCGAGCGUUAUUCGGAAUUAUUGGGCGUAAAGGGCGCGUAGGCGGCGCGAUAAGUCAAAGGUGAAAUCCCUCGGCUCAACUGAGGAACUGCCUUUGAAACUGUCGUGCUUGAGUCCGGGAGGGGGUAGCGGAAUUCCCAGUGUAGCGGUGAAAUGCGUAGAUAUUGGGAGGAACACCAGUGGCGAAGGCGGCUACCUGGACCGGUUCUGACGCUGAUGCGCGAAAGCGUGGGUAGCAAACAGG